CAUUUAAAAAGCUCCUGAUCUUACAGAUUCAUUAAAAAGUCAUGCUUUUGUUGGAAAGCACUUUUGAAAAUAUUUGAAUUCCUUCAGUUCAAACAAAGAAGAUUAAAGAAACAUGGAUGAUAAAUUAGCUACUAGUAGAAGCAAUUUCAGCUGUUUGGGAGUUGAUGAAAUAAAUUAAUCUUCUACCAGUUUGCUGGCUGUAACCCACUACGUCGAUUUUAUGAUCUGCUAAUGCUGAUUUAGAAGAUCGGAUUAGACAAGCAUAGGCACUACAGAUGGGAACAAGUCUUCUGAUACGCCACCCAAACACAGUCAUCGCAGACACCUACCAGAUGCCAGGGAGUUGAGCUCCGUUUGGAUCCUGAAAAGCAGGAGCUCUUGCCCAGCCUCACCCUUGAAAAUUCCCUGCCACAGCUCACACACAGAUCCACCCCAUCCACUGUCCCACAGGUGGUGACCAGCCACUCAGUGUUCUCCGAAGAGACUCAAGUCAUCAACAGGAAAAAGGCUGGGUGGUGCGCAGUCCUGCAGGCUUCAGCAGGUUCAUCUCUAGUCCUUCCCUUGUCCUCAUACUCAGUGAACAAACCUCUAACAUUCACUUGGAUUUUCAUUUUACACAUAGCUUGCAAAGAGGAAGUUCUCAUUGUGAAUUAGUAAAUAUACCUCCUGAUACUAAUUAGAUUGAGCUUCCUAAAAUGUGGUCUCACCUUAUCUUUUCUUAAUCUCUAAUCAAAAAAUCUUCAACACUGUUUGCCUACAAAAUAAAUCUAAAGUUAAGCACUAAAGGCAUAUAUAUACAUAUGCAUGCAUCUAUGUACUUAUAUUCAAUAUAUUAUUUUUAUAACUUUUAGUAUGCCUGAUAUAUGUCAGAAUAUAUAUUUUAAAUACCUUCUGUAACAUUACUGUUACUCCUACACAAGAUUAAUAUGUCAACCAGCACACCAUUAUGUUACUUAAUUUUGAAUGAAAUAGCCCAUAAAAUGAGAUGAGAAAAUGAAGUAAGAGCUAUGCAUUUUGGAAAGAGGAGGUAAAAUUAUCAUUAUUUUGCUAUCAAUCUGAUUGUAUACCUGAAAAACCCAGAGAAAGCAACUGAAUUUUAUUAAAAGUAAAAAAAAAAGUACUUUUUAUUUUUAUUACAUGCAGAAUUCAGUAAAUUCUGGAUGAUUAUAAAAUUAAAGUUUUUUAAAGAAUAGCUCAUUCUUUAUUCUAAGUAAUUUUGAUUCAUAUAAAUUUUUUUUAAAACCCAAGCAUGUAUUCAUGUAUUUUUAGUGUGAUUGAAGACAUCUUGAAAACAAAAUAGUGUUCUAGACAUAAAUCACUCAUGUAUACAAAUACUAACCAGAUUAAAAAUAUAGUGGAAAAACAAAUUCCAUUCACAAUUGCGGUAAUAAAAAAAAAGAAGUAAACAUAACAAGAAAUGUGUAGGAUCUAUAUGAGGAAAACUUUAAAAUUGUACUGAGGUCAUCAAAGAAGAUUUCAACACAUGGAAAGGUAUAUCUUGCUCUUGGAUAGGAAGAUGUACUCCCAACAGUAUAAGCAAGGUUAAAAGAAAAAUUUAACAGGUGAAAAUAUUUGUAACAGGUAACACAGCUAAUGGGCUAAUUUCUGACUGUAUGGAAGGAUUUUUAAAACAAGAUUAGAACAACCGAAGAGGAAUUGGCAAAGCAAUCAACAGGCAUUUCAGAGAAUAGUUAUAAGUGGCCAAUAAAGAUCCAAAAAUGCUC
Equus caballus (horse) is the source of this 1724-nucleotide long non-coding RNA. The record is from Ensembl. NCBI's taxonomy places the organism in Eukaryota, Metazoa, Chordata, Mammalia, Perissodactyla, Equidae.